AAACCAGCACCUCAAGUGGUCAGGAUGAUUAUUGGGCCUAAAGCAUCCGUAGCCUGCUCUGUAAGUUUUCGGUUAAAUCUGUACGCUCAACGUACAGGCUGCCGGGAAUACUGCAGAGCUAGGGAGUGGGAGAGGUAGACGGUACUCGGGAGGAAGUGGUAAAAUGCUUUGAUCUCUCGAUGACCACCUGUGGCGAAGGCGGUCUACCAGAACACGUUCGACGGUGAGGGAUGAAAGCUGGGGGAGCAAACCGGAUUAGAAACCCCAGUAGUCC
This 274-nucleotide ribosomal RNA is filed under the name uncultured bacterium. RNAcentral's name for it is "partial 16S ribosomal RNA". It matches the Rfam family "Archaeal small subunit ribosomal RNA", at positions 473 to 747 of the family's 1478-position model. The record is from RNAcentral.